UACGAAGGGGGCUAGCGUUGUUCGGAAUCACUGGGCGUAAAGGGCGCGUAGGCGGCUUGAUCAGUCGGGGGUGAAAGCCCGGGGCUCAACUCCGGAAUUGCCUUUAAGACUGCAUCGCUAGAAUUGUGGAGAGGUAAGUGGAAUUCCGAGUGUAGAGGUGAAAUUCGUAGAUAUUCGGAAGAACACCAGUGGCGAAGGCGACUUACUGGACACAUAUUGACGCUGAGGUGCGAAAGCGUGGGGAGCAAACAGG
RNAcentral lists this ribosomal RNA (253 nucleotides) under uncultured bacterium. Its description in RNAcentral is "partial 16S ribosomal RNA". It matches the Rfam family "Bacterial small subunit ribosomal RNA", at positions 524 to 776 of the family's 1533-position model. The record is from RNAcentral.